RNAcentral lists this ribosomal RNA (404 nucleotides) under Fusobacteriota bacterium. RNAcentral describes it as "Fusobacteria bacterium partial 16S ribosomal RNA". It matches the Rfam family "Bacterial small subunit ribosomal RNA", at positions 355 to 776 of the family's 1533-position model. Lineage: Bacteria; Fusobacteriati; Fusobacteriota. The record is from RNAcentral.
UGGGGAAUAUUGCACAAUGGAGGGAACUCUAAUGCAGCGACGCCGCGUGAGUGAUGAAGGAAUUCGUUUCGUAAAACUCUGUUCUAUGGGAAGAAAAGGACUGUACCAUAGGAGAAAGCUCCGGCUAAAUACGUGCCAGCAGCCGCGGUAAUACGUAUGGAGCGAGCGUUGUCCGGAAUUAUUGGGCGUAAAGGGUGCGCAGGCGGCUUUACAAGUUGGAUGUGAAAUAUUGUGGCUCAACCACAAACGUGCAUCCAAAACUGCAAAGCUUGAGUUAAGGAGAGGUAAGUGGAAUUCCUGGUGUAGCGGUGGAAUGCGUAGAUAUCAGGAGGAAUACCGGUGGCGAAGGCGACUUACUGGACUUAAACUGACGCUCAGGCACGAAAGCGUGGGGAGCAAACAGG